RNAcentral lists this transfer RNA (70 nucleotides) under Neoceratitis asiatica. Its description in RNAcentral is "tRNA-Cys". Lineage: Eukaryota; Metazoa; Arthropoda; Insecta; Diptera; Tephritidae. The record is from RNAcentral.
AGCUUUAUAGUCAAGAUUAAAAUGAUAUUAGAUUGCAAUUCUGAAGGGGUAAAAUAAAUUACUAAGGCUU